GUAUAGGUUUUAUAGGCACAAGGGCCUAGGAUUACAUUCUGUUACAUACAAUGGGGUAUAUGAAAAACAUAGACCUGGAAAUGCAAGGAAAGCAAGCUAGUGCCAGCAGUCCUCCCGACCGAGUUGCCUCGGAAAGUCAAUCCAAGUCUACAAGAGGUGCACAGGUGGAGAGAUGAGGAUGGUGGGUGUGCACAUGCCCCCAAAAGAGGACCAGCAACAACCACACCAAGUUCAUUCAAUAAUGAUCCUUCCGCAGGUUCACCUACGGAAA
This 271-nucleotide unclassified non-coding RNA is filed under the name uncultured fungus. Its description in RNAcentral is "sequence contains ITS1". Lineage: Eukaryota; Fungi. The record is from RNAcentral.